AGAGUUUGAUCAUGGCUCAGAUUGAACGCUGGCGGCAGGCCUAACACAUGCAAGUCGAACGGUAACAGGAAGCAGCUUGCUGCUUUGCUGACGAGUGGCGGACGGGUGAGUAAUGUCUGGGAAACUGCCUGAUGGAGGGGGAUAACUACUGGAAACGGUAGCUAAUACCGCAUAACGUCGCAAGACCAAAGAGGGGGACCUUCGGGCCUCUUGCCAUCGGAUGUGCCCAGAUGGGAAUAGCUAGUAGGUGGGGUAACGGCUCACCUAGGCGACGAUCCCUAGCUGGUCUGAGAGGAUGACCAGCCACACUGGAACUGAGACUCGGUCCAGACUCCUACGGGAGGCAGCAGUGGGGAAUAUUGCACAAUGGGCGCAAGCCUGAUGCAGCCAUGCCGCGUGUAUGAAGAAGGCCUUCGGGUUCUAAAGUACUUUCAGCGGGGAGGAAGGGAGUAAAGUUAAUACCUUUGCUCAUUGACGUUACCCGCAGAAGAAGCACCGGCUAACUCCGUGCCAGCAGCCGCGGUAAUACGGAGGGUGCAAGCGUUAAUCGGAAUUACUGGGCGUAAAGCGCACGCAGGCGGUUUGUUAAGUCAGAUGUGAAUUCCCCGGGCUCAACCUGGGAACUGCAUCUGAUACUGGCAAGCUUGAGUCUCGUAGAGGGGGGUAGAAUUCCAGGUGUAGCGGUGAAAUGCGUAGAGAUCUGGAGGAAUACCGGUGGCGAAGGCGGCCCCCUGGACGAAGACUGACGCUCAGGUGCGAAAGCGUGGGGUGCAAACAGGAUUAGAUACCCUGGUAGUCCACGCCGUAAACGAUGUCGACUUGGAGGUUGUGCCCUUGAGGCGUGGCUUCCGGAGCUAACGCGUUAAGUCGACCGCCUGGGGAGUACGGCCGCAAGGUAAAAACUCAAAUGAAUUGACGGGGGCCCGCACAAGCGGUGGAGCAUGUGGUUUAAUUCGAUGCAACGCGAAGAACCUUACCUG
RNAcentral lists this ribosomal RNA (980 nucleotides) under Escherichia coli. RNAcentral's name for it is "bacterial SSU rRNA". It matches the Rfam family "Bacterial small subunit ribosomal RNA", at positions 8 to 977 of the family's 1533-position model. The record is from RNAcentral. Lineage: Bacteria; Pseudomonadati; Pseudomonadota; Gammaproteobacteria; Enterobacterales; Enterobacteriaceae.